GAACCCGUGAGAAUGCCCUCAAUCCCCCACCCGGGGACGAGGAGCAGGCAUCAGGCACAAAUUUUAGCCCAAGACGCCUUGCCACGCCACACCCCCAAGGGAAUUCAGCAGUGAUAGAUAUUAAGCCAUAAGUGAAAACUUGACUUAGUCAGGGAUAAGAGGGCCGGUAAAACUCGUGCCAGCCACCGCGGUUAUACGAGAGGCCCCAGUUGAUGGACACGGCGUAAAGGGUGGUUAAGGUUUAGUAAAAAUAAAGCCAAAAGACCUCUUGGCUGUCAUACGCCCCUGAGUCUCCGAAGCCCACAUACGAAGGUAGCUUUAAUACUAUAUUUACCUGACCCCACGAAAGCUGAGAAACAAACUGGGAUUAGAUACCCCACUAUGCUCAGCCAUAAACUUAGGCGUUAUUUUACAAUUAACGCCCGCCAGGGUACUACGAGCAUUAGCUUAAAACCCAAAGGACUUGGCGGUGCCUUAGACCCCCCUAGAGGAGCCUGUUCUAGAACCGAUAACCCCCGUUAAACCUCACCACUUCUGGCCAUCCCC
Molecule: ribosomal RNA, 546 nt
Filed under: Misgurnus anguillicaudatus (oriental weatherfish)
Lineage: Eukaryota; Metazoa; Chordata; Actinopteri; Cypriniformes; Cobitidae
Description: partial 12S rRNA
Rfam family: Bacterial small subunit ribosomal RNA
Source: RNAcentral